Molecule: long non-coding RNA, 3554 nt
Filed under: Canis lupus familiaris (dog)
Lineage: Eukaryota; Metazoa; Chordata; Mammalia; Carnivora; Canidae
Description: lncRNA (ENSCAFG00040004159.1)
Source: RNAcentral
AUGAGAUGCCCUGGUGAAGAGGUGUUUGCCCAGGUGCGGCGCACCCAGGCAAGCGAGCAGUCCACCCAGGUGGGCUCCUUUGUGUGGAGUCACCUGAUGCAGCUGCUGGAAACUGAUGACCCUCUGAAGCGAGCUCUCCAGGAGGCCCUCCCUGAGGACAUCCUGAGCCAGGAGUUCCAGCCAGAGACCUGGAAACACUCAUCCUAUUCUGAUGUCACCUUCCGCUCAGCUUGGCCUCCGCCUGGAAAAUGCAGAGAAAAUCAUCCACAGGCUGUUGGGCGGGAAGUCAUUGUGGGGGCAGGAAGAGGAGAGAGAGGGCCAGCCGGAGAAGUCCUCAGAGCCAGACCCAGGGCCCUCAGCACAGGCAGCCAAACCUGACUGUCCAGAAGAAAGGUCCAGAAAGAUGAGAGACCUGCAGCAGAAGGUAAGGCGGGGGUUGGGGGGAGGUACCUGCACCCACCCUGCUCCCACCCUUCACCAGCCCGAGCUUUUGGCCUGCGAACUCAGGUGUCAAUGAAUUCUGACCCUGCCCUCCCUCCCCAGACACAAGUACUGGUCCAGAGCCGAGUAGUCAGCUGUUAGCCUGCCUUAUCGUGAAAAAGUCUUGAUCAAAGCAUCACCUACAAUUAGAAAAUCAUGCAAGCCCUAAGCGUGUUUCCACCACCAGAACGCAUUCUUAGAAUCAGUGCCCAGAGCAUUAUCGGCACCCCAGAGGCCCCCUGUCCUCCCCCUUCUGGUCUACCCACCCUAACCAAGGGUGAUCAUGAAUCGGCCUCCUAACUGCCCUGGUUAGUUCUACUUUUUAAAAAAUCAGCUCUGUCCCAGGUCUAGUAAUGAGUAGCAUGUGUUUAAUUACACAAUUUGAUAAGUUUUGACCUAUAAGUGCACAUUCCUAGUGACGUGCAACCAUCACUUCUAUCUAGUUCCCAAACAUUGUCAUGGCCCCAAGGGAGACCCCAUCCCCAGUAACAGUCACUCCCCAUCCCGUCUUCCCCCGGCCCAUGGCAACCACUGAUCUGCUUUGGGUCUCUAUGGAUUUUCCUGUCCUGGACAUUUCACAGACACGGAAUCAGACACAUGUGACCUAUGGUGUCUGGCUUCUCUCACUGAGCCUCCUGUUUGGGGACUCGCUGGUGUAGCACAGAUCAGUGCUGUAUCCCUCUUGAAGGCUGGAUAGGUUACACUGUGUUCAUCCAUCCACCUGCUGGGGGACAUUCUGUUGCAAAUUGUUGCCACCCUUUAGCGAGUGUGAAUAAUGCUGCUUGUGACAUUGUGUGUGUGUGUGUGUGUGUGUGUGUGUGUGUCUAGCUUCUCUCUUGCUUGAAUGAGAUCCAUCCACAUGGUUCUAUAUUUUCACACUUUGCUCAUGCUCCUUGCUGUGUAGCGUUCCAUGAUCUGAACCUGCUAGAAUGUCCUUAUCCAUCCUACUUUUGGUAGACUUUUGGAUAGUUUCCUGUUUCUAACUUAUCGCCCAUAGCGCUACCAACAUUCUUGCACGUGUCUUUCUGGUGAAUGCACGUGCGCCUUUCUGCUGGGCACAUACCCAGGAAUAGAGUUGAUGGGCUGUGGGAUCCUUUAAUACCCAUUCUGUGGGUGGGGAAUUAUAUUUUAUGUGACUUUUCUCCCAUGGAUGGACAUGACACCAAGAUUGCUGGCACCUUUUUACUCUCUCUCUCUCAAUAAAUAAAUAAAAUCUUAAUCUACAUCCUUUUUGUUAUUUUCACACUUGGGAUGGAGACUCAUAUUGCAAGAUCUAUUUAGCGGAAGCACAGUGAUAGUGGCAACAGUACUUGGCCUCAGUGUUGGGGAGCCGAUAGGGAGUGGUGGAGGCUGUGGCAGGUGGGAAAAACGCAUGAUUUAGUUAGAAGUGGUGGCCACCGUUCAGCUCUGGUUUCUUAUUGGCCCUUGUGGUGGUGAUGUGGGGUGGGCGGGGGGAGGCCAAUACUUCUCUUUUUCAAGAAGCCAGAGGACUCGGAUUUCAUAUGUAGUCUCCUAAUUUUUAUUUAUUUAUUUUUUAAAAAAGAUUUUAUUUAUUUAUCCAUGAGAGACACACACACACAGAGAGAGAGAGGUAGAGAGACACAGGCAGAGGGAGAAGCAGGUUCUAUGCAGGGAGCCCGACGUGUGACUCGAUCCCGGGUCUCUAGGGUCAUACCUGGGCUGAAAGCGGUGCUAAACCGCUGAGCCACCCAGGCUGCCCCAGUCUCCUAAUUUUUUUUUUUUAUUGGUGUUCAAUUUACUAACAUACAGAAUAACCCCCAGUGCCCAUCACCCAUUCACUCUCCUAAUUUUUAAAUAUUGGAAACAAAUCCAAUUUUUAAAAAAUAUGCACCGUGAAAAAUCUGAAGAUAGACAAAUGGUCACAGACUGAGGAGACAGGAGAGAUGGGGCAAGCUCAUGGCAUGUGCUGCCUGAAUUGGGUCCUGGAACCUGAGGGAGACCCGGAAUGGAAACACCGGUGAAAUCUGAAUGUCUGCAGUUUUGUAUGUCCGUGUUGGCUUCUCCGCCUUGCCCGCGCCCUGGCCGUGGAAGUCGCCACCGGUGGAGACAGCGUGAGGGAUGUGGGGGAGCUCUCUGUACCAUCUUUGCAACUUUUCUGUAAAUCUAAGAUUAUUCUAAAAUAAAAAGAUCUUGAGAACACUCACCCCCCCGACACGCUGCCCUGGGCAUUGGGUAGUAGCGCGGGUCAGGGAAGACACAUCUGUGGUUUUGCUUGCAGGCCACGAGUUUUGCAAGUCACAUUCCGGAUGCUGAAAGCCCUUGUCCUUGCCCUUCUGGUCCCCCUGGUCCCCCACCUGUGUCCAGGCACUAGACCUGCUCCUGUCACCAGCCUGGUCCCCCCCUCAGGUGGCCCGGAGGCGCGCGGAGCGGCGGGCGCUGCGGUGUGAGCUGAGUGUGAAGGUGUUCGGGCACGAGCUGAGCUAUGUGAACUGCGGGGUGAUGGGGAGCCACGUGAAACGCCAGUCCUUGCACCUGGCCGAGCUGGCAGCCAAACUCCUGAAGGUACCUCCGGCUGGGCUCAGCCCCAGCCCGCUCUGCCGGCCCUGUGGGGUUUCCUUCAAUGUUUUGGGGGGAAAGUACUAAGGUACUUUCCAGACUUAUGACCGUGGUAUUUCGGGCCAGGCUGCCCAAGUUCAAAUCAUGGCCCCGCCUCUCACCUGCGGGGGAGCCAAUGCUUGUCAUGGCCUCGGUUUGUGCAUCUGUGAAAUGGGCACCAUAGCAUGACAAUAGUGAUAGUAACAAAAGCAGCAGCUACUUUAUGGGGCGGUUGUUCUAAAUGACCUAAUGCAGUAAAAAAAAAAAAAAAAAGAAAAGAAAAAGAAAAAAAAAAGAAAAAAGAAAAGAAAAAUGCAACCAAAUGUUUAGAAUGCACCUGGCAUGUGCUAAGUGCUCUGCAUCGUGCUCAGGGCUCACAUUCCUCCUUACCUGACUCACCCUGGAUCCCGGACCACUGACCCUUUUCCAUAGUAAACUAACUGGACUUGAACUCAGCUCCACCUGUUUCUACCUAUGUAGGUUUGGCCAGGUGAUCUCAUCUGUUUGUGGGCUCAGUU